GGGCCCGUAGCUCAGCAAGGUAGAGCACCGGGCUUUUAACCCGGUGGUCCCGGGUUCAAUUCCCGGCGGGCCCG
RNAcentral lists this transfer RNA (74 nucleotides) under Candidatus Bathyarchaeota archaeon. RNAcentral describes it as "tRNA-Lys". It matches the Rfam family "tRNA". From Rfam's summary of the family: Transfer RNA (tRNA) molecules are approximately 80 nucleotides in length. Their secondary structure includes four short double-helical elements and three loops (D, anti-codon, and T loops). Further hydrogen bonds mediate the characteristic L-shaped molecular structure. tRNAs have two regions of fundamental functional importance: the anti-codon, which is responsible for specific mRNA codon recognition, and the 3' end, to which the tRNAs corresponding amino acid is attached (by aminoacyl-tRNA synthetases). tRNAs cope with the degeneracy of the genetic code in two manners: having more than one tRNA (with a specific anti-codon) for a particular amino acid; and 'wobble' base-pairing, i.e. permitting non-standard base-pairing at the 3rd anti-codon position. RNAcentral also lists the same sequence under 1 other name. Lineage: Archaea; Thermoproteati; Candidatus Bathyarchaeota. The record is from RNAcentral.